GCAACGGGAAUGUUUAUGGAUUGACUUUUUCUGGAUUCCUUUCCUUCCAUUUGAUUCCAGAUGAGAACUGGUUCUGCAAAGACAGGAGCACUGAGACAACUAUGACUAUCCCCUUUCUAAAUGUGUGACAACUGUAAAGAGGACUAUAUUUCCUGAAUUAGACUACAAGCACCACAAAAG
Long non-coding RNA from Mya arenaria, 180 nucleotides. RefSeq lists it as uncharacterized. The record is from RefSeq and is a predicted model, not a curated record. Lineage: Eukaryota; Metazoa; Mollusca; Bivalvia; Myida; Myidae. The transcript has 3 exons.